GACGAACGCUGGCGGCGUGCUUAACACAUGCAAGUCGAACGGAAAGGCCCUGCUUUUGUGGGGUGCUCGAGUGGCGAACGGGUGAGUAACACGUGAGUAACCUGCCCUUGACUUUGGGAUAACUUCAGGAAACUGGGGCUAAUACCGGAUAGGAGCUCCUGCUGCAUGGUGGGGGUUGGAAAGUUUCGGCGGUUGGGGAUGGACUCGCCGCUUAUCAGCUUGUUGGUGGGGUAGUGGCUUACCAAGGCUUUGACGGGUAGCCGGCCUGAGAGGGUGACCGGCCACAUUGGGACUGAGAUACGGCCCAGACGCCUACGGGAGGCAGCAGUGGGGAAUAUUGCACAAUGGGCGGAAGCGUGAUGCAGCAACGCCGCGUGCGGGAUGACGGCCUUCGGGUUGUAAACCGCUUUCGCCUGUGACGAAGCGUGAGUGACGGUAAUGGGUAAAGAAGCACCGGCUAACUACGUG
Molecule: ribosomal RNA, 468 nt
Filed under: uncultured bacterium
Lineage: Bacteria
Description: partial 16S ribosomal RNA
Rfam family: Bacterial small subunit ribosomal RNA
Source: RNAcentral